GACGAACGCUGGCGGCGUGCCUAAUACAUGCAAGUAGAACGCUGAAGGAGGAGCUUGCUCUUCUGGCUGAGUUGCGAACGGGUGAGUAACGCGUAGGUAACCUGCCUGGUAGCGGGGGAUAACUAUUGGAAACGAUAGCUAAUACCGCAUAAGAGUAGAUGUUGCAUGACAUUUACUUAAAAGGUGCAAUUGCAUCACUACCAGAUGGACCUGCGUUGUAUUAGCUAGUUGGUGGGGUAACGGCUUACCAAGGCGACGAUACAUAGCCGACCUGAGAGGGUGAACGGCCAAACCGGGACUGAGGCACGGCCCAGACCCCUACGGGAGGCAGCCGUAGGGAAUCUUCGGCAAUGGGCGGAAGUCUUACCGAGCAACGCCGCGUUGGGUAAGAAAGUUUUCGGAUCGUAAAGCUCUGUUGUUAGAGAAGAACAAGUGUGAGAGUGAAAAGUUCACGCUGUGACGGUAUCUUACCAGAAAGCGACGGCUAACUACGUG
Molecule: ribosomal RNA, 495 nt
Filed under: uncultured bacterium
Lineage: Bacteria
Description: partial 16S ribosomal RNA
Rfam family: Bacterial small subunit ribosomal RNA
Source: RNAcentral